This 301-nucleotide ribosomal RNA is filed under the name uncultured bacterium. RNAcentral describes it as "partial 16S ribosomal RNA". It matches the Rfam family "Bacterial small subunit ribosomal RNA", at positions 509 to 807 of the family's 1533-position model. The record is from RNAcentral.
CAGUCUCCGCGGGAAUACGUAGGUGGCAAGCGUUGUCCGGAAUUAUUGGGCGUAAAGGGCUCGCAGGCGGUUUCUUAAGUCUGAUGUGAAAGCCCCCGGCUCAACCGGGGAGGGUCAUUGGAAACUGGGAAACUUGAGUGCAGAAGAGGAGAGUGGAAUUCCACGUGUAGCGGUGAAAUGCGUAGAGAUGUGGAGGAACACCAGUGGCGAAGGCGACUCUCUGGUCUGUAACUGACGCUGAGGAGCGAAAGCGUGGGGAGCGAACAGGAUUAGAUACCCCCGUAGUCCCUGUCUCUUAUAC